AGUUCGAUCAUGGCUCAGAUUGAACGCUGGCGGGAUGCUUUACACAUGCAAGUCGAACGGCAGCACGGACUUCGGUCUGCGGCGAGUGGCGAACGGGUGAGUAAUGUAUCGGAACGUGCCUAGUAGCGGGGAUAACUACGCGAAAGCGUAGCUAAUACCGCAUACGCCCCUUCGGGAAAGCGGGGACCUUCGGGCCUCGCACCUGCCAUUAGAGCCGGCCGAUAUCGGAUUAGCUAGUUGGUAAGGAAGGUAACGGCUCACCAAGGCGACGAUCCGUAGCUGGUUUGAGAGGACGACCAGUCACACUGGGACUGAGACACGGCCCAGACUCACGGGAGGCAGCAGUGGGGAAUUUUGGACAAUGCGGGGAAAACUCCGAUCCACCAUCCGCGUGGGCGGUUGCUUACGGCAGGUACCUUUCAGCCAGUAAAGCAUUUUCUCAGAAGAAAACAGACGUGAUGACACUCCGCAAAACGAUGAUACGGCACCGAAUAAGCACCGGCUAACUACGUGCCAGCAGCCGCGGUAAUACGUAGGGUGCAAGCGUUAAUCGGAAUUACUGGGCGAAGCGUGCGCAGGCGGUUCGCAGUGCCAGAAAGAUGCAAUCCCAGAGCUUAACUUUGAACUGCAUUUUUAACUACCGAGUCAGAGUGUACAGAGGGAGGUGGAAUUCCGCGUGUAGCAGUGAAAUGCGUAGAUAUGCGGAGGAACAAUACUGGAGGCGAAGCGCAGCCUCCUGGGAUAACACUGACGCUCAUGCACGAAAGCGUGGGGAGCAAACAGGAUUAGAUACCCUGGUAGUCCACGCCCUAAACGAACUGCUGUUGGGGCCUUCGCCUGGUAGCGCAGCUGAAUGCGGAAGCGACCGUCUAAUGUAUGCCAAUCGCAGAUUUAAAUCGCGUGAAUUGACGUGGGGACCUCCGCACAAGCGGUGGAUGAUGACGCGAAUUUAGCGCAACGCGAAAACCUUACCUACCCUGACAUGUCUGGAAUCAAAGAUUUUGGGAGUGCUCGCAAGAGAACCGAACACAGGUGCUGGCAUGGCUGUCGUCAGCUCGUGUCGAGAUCGUUGGGUUAAGUCCCGCAACGAGCGCAACCUCGGUCAUUAGCUGCAUACGAAAGGGCACUUAUCGAGACUGCCGGUGCACAAACUGAUAGCAGGGGAUGACGUGUCAAGUCCUCAAGGCCCUUGGCGGGUAGGGCUUCACGCCGCGGCCAACAUCGACAGAUGGCCCUUCGAACCAUGAUAGACGCUGACCCAGAAAGAACUGAUCGUAGGUCUGAUCAGUGUUCAACAACUGAUCGCACAAGCUGAUGGCGAUCAGCGGUGUCGCGGUGAAUACGUUCCCGGGUCUUGUACACACCGCCCGUCACACCAUGGGAGGGUCACCGCAGCGGCGCUGACGCCACCGUGUGAGUGACACACGCACAUCGCGAUUGGGGUGAAGUCGUAACAAGGGCAAACCCACGACACCGAUCUUCCAGAAGAAGCUACGCACCUGAA
RNAcentral lists this ribosomal RNA (1504 nucleotides) under uncultured Bordetella sp. RNAcentral describes it as "partial 16S-23S ribosomal RNA intergenic spacer". It matches the Rfam family "Bacterial small subunit ribosomal RNA". Lineage: Bacteria; Pseudomonadati; Pseudomonadota; Betaproteobacteria; Burkholderiales; Alcaligenaceae. The record is from RNAcentral.